CCACUGUCUGUUGAUGUCUGCCACUGGAUUAGCACUGAGAAAACCAAUUCAAGCAAUAAGAAACCAGCUGUCAGGAAGUGUUUUUCCUUGGAGGUGUGCUUUUUCUACCCCUUUUGCCCUGAGGAUCCUAUUAGUAGAGAGCUGA
Molecule: long non-coding RNA, 145 nt
Filed under: Crocodylus porosus (Australian saltwater crocodile)
Lineage: Eukaryota; Metazoa; Chordata; Crocodylia; Crocodylidae
Description: lncRNA (ENSCPRG00005006643.1)
Source: RNAcentral